GCCAGGCGUGGUGGCGCAUGUCUGUAAUCCCAGCUACUGGGGAGGCUGAGGCAGAAGAAUCACUUGAACCCAGGGGGCGGAGGGUGCAGUGAGUCCAGAUCAAGCCACUGCACUCCAGCCUGGGUAACAGAGUGAGACUCAGUCUCAA
This 148-nucleotide signal recognition particle RNA is filed under the name Gorilla gorilla gorilla (western lowland gorilla). RNAcentral's name for it is "Metazoan signal recognition particle RNA". It matches the Rfam family "Metazoan signal recognition particle RNA". Rfam says of the family: The signal recognition particle (SRP) is a universally conserved ribonucleoprotein. It is involved in the co-translational targeting of proteins to membranes. Lineage: Eukaryota; Metazoa; Chordata; Mammalia; Primates; Hominidae. The record is from Rfam by way of RNAcentral.